CAGCAUCUGUGGCGUGCUUACCGUGUGUCAGACAUACAAUCACACGUUUAGCCCACAUAACAAUCCUAACAUAAUCACACACCUAGCUCUCCAGCCCCCUUACCUGAGUGGAAUUGAUGGUAUGGACGGCAAAGGUUUUUUGUUGUUGUUUUUUCUUUUUACUAUUAUUAUUAUUGUAGAUGGACACAAUACCGUUAUUUAUUUUUAUGUGGUGCUGAAGAUCCAACCCAGGGCCUCAUGUGUGAGGCAAGCACUCUACCACUGAGCCACAACCCUAGCCCAUGGCAAAGGAUCUUGAUAAGACAUGAUUCCUGGACUGAAGUUUGUCAUCUAUUUGAGUUAUAACAAAUAAAAAAGAAGUUUUUAACUACACAAGAAUUCUUAUUAGUAGCGGGGCAUAACAGAGCUUGUCUGUAAUCCUACCGGGCUUAGGAGAUUGAGGCAGGAAGAUCACAAGUUCAAAGCCAGCUCAAGAACUCAGCAAGACACUGUCUCAAAAUAAAAACAAAGGGCUGGGGGCAUGGCUCAGGGGUUAAGUAUCUCUUGAGUUCAAUCCCUGGUAACCUUCCCUCCCCCCAGGGGAAAAAAAUUUAGAGGGAACCUAUUACAUUAAAUACCUUGUUCACAUUGAGCUUUGAUACACUCAAAAUGAUGGAAUUGAGCAGCUUCUGAUUCUGUUUGAAAAGAGGGUGAAAAUAAAUUUUACUAGGUUAAUGAUGAAGAAAUACCUUGACCUAAAAGUACAAGAAUUAGUUCACAUAUUUAAAAACUCAAAACCUUUUAUUUUAUGUUUUAUAUAUUUGAGCAUAUUAAAGAGUAAAUGAAUUAAGGUCUUUGCCAAAGGAAUUCAUUGUUAUGUAGUGUGUUAUUUGAGAGCUGAAAUGCCUAGCAUUGGGUUAAAAACAGGUCUUAGGCAAAGUAAAUUCUGGGGUUUAGUUUCCUUAGCAUGUAGAACAAGAAUGAUAGUAGAAGCUAGAGAUUACUGUGGAAGUUUGUGAAAAAUUAAGGUAAAAUAUUUGACGCAAUAAGAUGUCAGUAAACAUUACCUGUUGUUUGCUAUUAAUGAGAUAAACAAAUACUUUUCUAUGUGACUUUCCCCUUUUUUGUUAAAUGUAAGAAUGAGGGUUUUUUUGGGGGGGGGGCAAGUUUCCUCUUCAUAUGCUAGCUGCUAAGUUGUUGUAGCUUAAAGGCAAUUUGUGAUAAUUGUCUAUUAUAAACAAGUUCAGGGUUUUAAAAGGUAACAUGUUUUUUAUUUCAUACAUGAAGUCCAUUUCUUCUUUUUUGUAUAAUUUUUAAAUUAGACACAAAUGCCAGACCCUAAGACCUUCAAGCAGCACUUUGAAAGCAAGCAUCCUAAGACUCCACUUCCUCCAGAAUUGGCCGAUGUUCAGGCAUAAAGUUGUUUACAGGUAAUUGACCUUUUUUUUUUGUCUGUCAAUUUUCAGACUUAAAUACAAGAGCAAAACUAACUUCUUCAACUGUGAGGUUAAUUUCUGAUUUCUGAGUCUUUAUUACUACUUCUUUUUAAUGUUUAACUUCGUUACUAGAACCUAACAAUUGUACUUAUAGUUUACUAGAAUGUUUUAUAAUUAUCAAAAGUUUUUUUCCUCAGAUCACUUCCUUUGAAACAUCCCAAGUUUUUACUACUGUACCAAAAUGGGGUCGGGGGUGGGGGAAUGAGUGAAUAUUGGCCAUCUCUAGCUCAAGAAUGAAAGACUUAUCAGCUGCAAGAAAAUAGUUAUUUCUAAGGUUUUUAAGGGCCUUCCUCCCAAAAAUGAUGCAAACCAAUUUCCUGAGCACAUUUUUACAGUUAUUUUUAUUUAAUGGUGCUUAGCAGAGCUUCUAAAUAUUAAAUAUAGUAUAAAAUGUAGGCAUACACUAAAACCUUUUUUGAAAAUAAUCAGUUUACACUUUUUAUGUGCUUGGAUUUUUUACCCCUAAAUGGUGUGUGUGGUCUUUCAUUUUAGACAUUUGAAAUGCAUUAUUAACUUGGAUUUGUACAAUGGGUAUGUUCACUGAAAUUUUCCUUAUGUUUUAUAGGUGAAUUCAUGACACCUUUGACUCUUCUACUGUCUCAGACCUUAGGUAACAAACCUGCAGCUGCUUUUCUAACAAACUGUUGAUCAGCAAAAAUAAAGGGGCUACAGAAACACUCAUUUUUAUGCUGUUCCCUUUUGGGCUUCAUGCAAAGACAAUUCUGUGUAAAUGUACAGUUGACUCUGAUUUGGAAAUCUGAAAAUCAGUCCAUCCUUGUUAUAAAAAUUUUUUUAUAAUUGUAAUUAUAUUGAUGUUCAUAUUGUGUAAAAUAACUCAUCUAAUAAAGUAGUACUUUGAUUUUACAACAUCACAGGAUAAAUGGUUCUACAGAUUCUGUUCUAACUUUCCUUAUUUGCCUUAUAAAAAUCUAAUGAAUUCAGCAGCUAGAAUUACAAACGCAACUUUUAUCUCCCUUUCUCAGCUCAGUGCAGGUUCCUUAAACUAAAGCAGACUCAUUCAUUUAAAUUGUGCAUGUAAUUUUGUUGGCAGCUGAUGAUUUAGGUAAAGAAUGACUUUAUCUGCUGCCUUAGAAUAUUGUAAAGUAUCAUGCCCCCAAUGAUCAUUUCACAUGUUUAGAAUUGACAAAUCUAAAUUUCCUGUAUGAAUUGAUUGGGUAUAGCUACCAGUCAGGGGUACCCUGUAGAAAACUAAUACAUUUGUAAAAACAAUUGGAUUAUCAGUGAGCCCUUCUAAAAAAUAAGUUUCUGAAGUAUAUGUCAAAACAAAAAUAAUCAUUAGUCCUAUUGUUUAAUAGAAAAUAUGAUGGAACAAAUGUGAACUGGUAAAAAGAUUUUUUUAUAAAUUAUAGUGGAUUUAUUUGCAAAUUGUUCAAGCUCUUUAAUUUGAAAUUGAAGCAUAAUUUUUGAAGGAGUUUUAGGAAGUUAUUAAUUAUUUGGCCAAUUUUAUGAAUGAAUUUUUGCAUUAACAGGAAUUGGAAUUAUUUGUGAUUGGUUAAUUCCCAGAAUCCUCUCUAUUGAAACAUUGAAUUUAGGAAUUAGCAUUCUGGUUGUUCCUAAAAUCAGACCAUGUAUUAUAGUAUGACUUCCAUUCAAACUAGAAAAGUAUUAAAAUCAACCAGUAUGCUCAAUCUUGGGGAUUAAGGAUGGGAGGUGCUUUUGUUCAGUUGGAUAAAGUAAAUGCUACCCAGUUAAGGAAAACUCAACUUUAGUGUUCUUUUAAUUUGCUUUUGUUGACUAUUAACUUGUACAAAUGAAACUGCUGUAACUCAGUUUAAAUUUUAAAAUUAACAUAAUAGGAAGAACACUAAAAUAUUUACUGCUAACUGCUUAGAGCCGCAUAUCUGAUCCUGUGGAUUACAAAAUGCAUUCCCUCCUUCUGCUGUAACUCAUUGCUGCAUUUGUUUUGUAGCUCCACAUACUCUGCCCACCUUGUUUGUCUUCACUGUAAGUUUAAAAUAAGAUGUUUGCAAGGAAAAGCUCCAGUGCUGAUAGUUUCUUAGCAACUCCUAUUCUUAGACCCUUAUUUUUAAAAUACAGUUCUUUUGUUUCAUGUAUUUAAUUUCCUAAGUUUCAGACUUAAUGUUGUUUCCUAAUAUGUCAAUUGCCAGAACAUUAGUUCUACCUAAUUUCUUGUGGUGGUUAUUGUAGAAGUUCUGGUUAAAGUACAAUUUAUAAGUUUUUGAAAGUGCUUUGAGCAUAUGUGUGUUUAUUUUUAGUAACAAAUCAUUUAAAACCCAUUCACAAAUUUUGGUUUAAAUUUUUUUUCAUUUGUUUUACUGACUGUAAUUCAGAAUAAAAUUUUUUGUUCUUGUAUUUAACCCUUUUUUUUUUAUAAGCAGCUGAAGACACCAUAUUUAACUCUCUAUCUCAGUGAUAGGGAAAUAGUCGGAUUGAUCUUAUAUAAGACAUUAAUUCUCAAUAUGGGGAUUAUUAGUACAAUCCCCUUUUUGUGUUUUCGGUUAAAUCUGCUAUAAGAAAAAAAAUUCCAAGUCUUAAAUAUCUUUGUUUAUUUAAUUUGAAGAUUCUUUAACAGAUAACAGCAAAGUUUAUUUAAAAACUGUUAUGGUGUCUUCAAAGACUUGAUAAAAUACACUGAGAGAAUUGCCAUUCUGUAUUUACAUUAGUUGCCAAAAGAAACGGGGUUAAGAUUAAACUUGUUUCCAUUCUCUUCAAAUGGAUAUCCCCAUGUUUAAUUGACACACUGGGGCCUCAGUUGUGUGCUGUAAUGUCUUAUUAAAGAAGAUAUUAAAGAAAACUAAACUAGUCUAAUUUCUUUUAACAUUUUAAGAGGUUUUGAUAUUGCCUCUUUUUAUUUCUUCCUUUCUAAACUUAGAAGAAUUGUCUCUUGAGUGUAGCUUGAGUUCUAAGAACGACAAGAGAUGUCUUUCAUUUUUCAUUGUUUUUCUUACAUUCUUUUGUGUAUUUGGGGUCUGUAGAAUACUUCUUAAGAAUGAACAGAAAGAGUUUAUCAUUCUGAAACCUUGCAAGUUAGAAUAAGUGAGUUGUUGGAAGGGGGACGUAAUUACUGUUAACAUAAAGAUAAUACAAAACAAAAAAUACUUAGAUCAAUUAAUUGAACUAGAUGGAUAAGUCCUUGAUGACCUUGAUUUCCAUUUUAAGAUAAUACUUUUGGUUUUGUAUUAAAGACACUACAUAGAUAAUAAUCACAUCAUAAUUCAAACCUGAGAUGCAGCAUGAAUAAGGUAAAAUUUACAAACAUUACUCCCCCCCACACACACCCAUUCCUUAUUUUUCAUUCUUGUAAUACUUGGAACAUACUUGGCCUAUAAUUCCAGGGACUUUGGAGGCUGAGGCAAGAGAUUGCAAGUUCAAAACAACUUAGGCCCUAAGCAGCUUAGUGAGACCAUGUCUCAAAAAAGGGAUGUGGGUAUGUGGCUAAGUGGUUAAGUGCUCCUGGGUUCAAUUCCUAGUACCAAAUAAUAAUGUGGCUGGUGUAAAGGACUGUUCCCUAAUACAUGAUCAAUCACACUCCAAACUAUAAUUGAAAUGUUAUAUUUAAACCACUCAGUCUGAAAUGAUUUGUACUAGAUUUCUAGUUUGGGGGUUUGUUUAAGAGUGUAUGGUAGUAAAGAUCAACACUAGGGGGUUGUGUUUACUGUGACUUUGCACUCUGAAAUAGUUCAAAGUAGCUUAAUUUUCAUAGAAAUUUUAAAAAUAUAAGACCAUUCAUUGUGCAGAUUUGAUAAAACAUCUAUUUGAAAGAAUAGAUGUUUUAUUAAGAAAAGUUCAUCCUGUCAUUAAUUGUGUA
This 5265-nucleotide long non-coding RNA is filed under the name Marmota monax (woodchuck). Lineage: Eukaryota; Metazoa; Chordata; Mammalia; Rodentia; Sciuridae. The record is from RNAcentral.